UACAGAGGGGGCAAGCGUUGUUCGGAAUUACUGGGCGUAAAGGGCGCGUAGGCGGCCUUCUAAGUCGAACGUGAAAUCCCUGGGCUCAACCCAGGAACUGCGUCCGAUACUGGAAGGCUUGAAUCCGGGAGAGGGAUGCGGAAUUCCAGGUGUAGCGGUGAAAUGCGUAGAUAUCUGGAGGAACACCGGUGGCGAAGGCGGCAUCCUGGACCGACACUGACGCUGAGGAGCGAAAGCCAGGGGAGCAAGCGGG
RNAcentral lists this ribosomal RNA (253 nucleotides) under uncultured bacterium. RNAcentral describes it as "partial 16S ribosomal RNA". It matches the Rfam family "Bacterial small subunit ribosomal RNA", at positions 524 to 776 of the family's 1533-position model. The record is from RNAcentral.